ACAGAGUGAAAGGAAGAGACAGCUGACAGCUGUGUAAUUCAGUGUGAUUAGAGAUGCUGGGGAGAAGCACACAAGAAACAGUUAAAAGAGAAUGAGGACAUGCAUUGAUAAUGGUAGUUUGAUGUUUAUGUUGACUCCACAACUCAGGAAGUAAAUUGCUUUGACAUAAAGGUAACCGAUGGUACGGCUGGGGAGCGCUGAGUGCAUACGUCGCCAGCAAUGAUGUCAUCUAGCCCUGACCGGACCUGAAACAGUUAAGGCGCCUGAUAGCUCCUGAUUUAGCCGCGCAAAGCAGAGGAAACAGAGACACUGGUCAUCUCCAUGCACAGCAGCAGCCACUGAUUGGCCAAGCCACUGAUGUCAAGCAAGGGCAGUGGUGUUUUCAACGCCCCACAACCUUGAUCUAUUUAUUGAUGGAAAUGGGAAGUUCACAGAUGAAAAGAAACCUUAUAAGGAAAACAAUUUGCUGAUAUUGAAGAGAUGAAAAAGUACUAAAAGGCAUCAAAGAAGAUGAGUUUAAAUUAUGUUUUGAGCAAUGACAAAAACGUUUGGACAAAUGUAUUGAUUCAAGUGGAGGGUGACUGAAGUUUCAAAAUGUACAAAUAAAUACCCCCUCGCAUAUAAA
Long non-coding RNA from Pseudophryne corroboree (corroboree frog), 625 nucleotides. RefSeq lists it as uncharacterized. NCBI's taxonomy places the organism in Eukaryota, Metazoa, Chordata, Amphibia, Anura, Myobatrachidae. The transcript is spliced from 5 exons. The record is from RefSeq and is a predicted model, not a curated record.